This 492-nucleotide ribosomal RNA is filed under the name uncultured bacterium. Its description in RNAcentral is "partial 16S ribosomal RNA". It matches the Rfam family "Bacterial small subunit ribosomal RNA", at positions 29 to 507 of the family's 1533-position model. The record is from RNAcentral.
AGUGAACGCUGGCGGUAGGCCUAACACAUGCAAGUCGAACGGCAGCACAGUAAGAGCUUGCUCUUACGGGUGGCGAGUGGCGGACGGGUGAGGAAUACAUCGGAAUCUACUUUUUCGUGGGGGAUAACGUAGGGAAACUUACGCUAAUACCGCAUACGACCUACGGGUGAAAGCAGGGGAUCUUCGGACCUUGCGCGAUUGAAUGAGCCGAUGUCGGAUUAGCUAGUUGGCGGGGUAAAGGCCCACCAAGGCGACGAUCCGUAGCUGGUCUGAGAGGAUGAGGAGGCACACUGGGAGAAAAGAAGGGACCAGGCGACAACGGGAUGCAGCAGUGGGGAGUGGGGGAAAAGGGCCGUAAGCUUGAACCACACAUGUGGCGUGAGAGAAAAGGGCCGUCGUGUUGUAAAGCUCUUCUGUUGGGAAAGAAAAGCAACAGACUGAUAACCCGCUGUUCAGACGCUACCGAAAGAGGAAGCAACGGCUAACUUGGUG